GGACAUGAAAGCGAUCUGGCUGCAACAUGUCCCCCCACUGAUCACUUGGGUUGAUUCAGCUAACCUGGCUGGCUGGGCAGGUGCCCCUUCCUCCCUCCCCUCUCCACAUGUGUCCCUCCUGAAGAAAGACCACCCCGACAGAGGAGGACCAUUUCCACAGUCAAGGCUACUUGAGGAGCUUUGCUCCCCUGCUGGAACCUCCAAAUAGUUCUCAAAAUAACAUCCCAAAAAUGUUCAUCUGAGAAGAAUUUAAUAAAAGAUAUGUAAAAGAGCUAUACAU
This 280-nucleotide small nuclear RNA is filed under the name Fukomys damarensis (Damara mole-rat). RNAcentral describes it as "7SK RNA". It matches the Rfam family "7SK RNA". From Rfam's summary of the family: 7SK was discovered as an abundant small nuclear RNA in the mid-70s but a possible function has only recently been suggested. Lineage: Eukaryota; Metazoa; Chordata; Mammalia; Rodentia; Bathyergidae. The record is from Rfam by way of RNAcentral.